This 462-nucleotide ribosomal RNA is filed under the name uncultured bacterium. Its description in RNAcentral is "partial 16S ribosomal RNA". It matches the Rfam family "Bacterial small subunit ribosomal RNA", at positions 29 to 507 of the family's 1533-position model. The record is from RNAcentral.
AACAAACGCUGGCGGCGUGCCUAAUACAUGCAAGUCGAACGGGGAAAGCUUUCGGGUGAGUACUAGUGGCGCACGGGUGAGGAACGCGUGGAUAAUCUGCCUUAGAGUGGGGGAUAACUAGUCGAAAGAUUAGCUAAUACCGCAUAAGACCACGAGAGCUGCGGCUUUUGAGGUCAAAGGUUUUUCGCUCUAAGAUGAGUCCGCGUAAGAUUAGCUAGUUGGUGAGGUAACGGCUCACCAAGGCGACGAUCUUUAACUGGUCUGAGAGGAUGAUCAGUCACACUGGAACUGAGACACGGUCCAGACUCCUACGGGAGGCAGCAGGAGGGAAUAUUGCACAAUGGAGGAAACUCUGAUGCAGCGACGCCGCGUGAGUGAUGAAGGCCUUCGGGUCGUAAAGCUCUGUCGCAGGGGAAUAACACAAUGAAGGUACCCUGUAAGAAAGGAUCGGCUAACUUCGUG